RNAcentral lists this transfer RNA (66 nucleotides) under Upogebia major. RNAcentral's name for it is "tRNA-Asp". Lineage: Eukaryota; Metazoa; Arthropoda; Malacostraca; Decapoda; Upogebiidae. The record is from RNAcentral.
GAGAGCUUAAUUAAAUUAAUAAUAUAGAAUUGUCAUUUCUAAUUUACCCUCACUGGGUAGCUCUUA